This 442-nucleotide ribosomal RNA is filed under the name uncultured bacterium. RNAcentral's name for it is "bacterial SSU rRNA". It matches the Rfam family "Bacterial small subunit ribosomal RNA", at positions 28 to 507 of the family's 1533-position model. The record is from RNAcentral.
GAUGAACGCUGGCGAGAUGCCUUACACAUGCAAGUCGUACGGGGAUUUUUAAUUCAAGUGGCGGACGGGUGAGUAACACGUAAGAAUUUGCCUUUAGGAGGGGGACAACAACUGGAAACGGUUGCUAAUACCCCAUAUGCUUUCGAGUGAAAUGGAUUUUUCCGCCUAAAGAGAAGCUUGCGGCUGAUUAGCUUGUUGGUGAGGUAAUGGCUCACCAAGGCGACGAUCAGUAUCUGGUUUGAGAGGAUGAUCAGACACACUGGAACUGAGACACGGUCCAGACUCCUACGGGAGGCAGCAGUGGGGAAUUUUCCGCAAUGGGCGAAAGCCUGACGGAGCAAUCUCGCGUGGGGGAUGACGGCCUAUGGGUUGUAAACCUCUUUUUUCUAGGGAGGAACAAAAUAGACGUGUACCUGAAGAAUAAGCAUCGGCUAACUCCGUG